UGGUCUAUUUGGAAUGAAAGAAAUGCAAGAGUAUUUCGUAAUAAGUCCUCGCCUCCAAUGAUCUUGCUCAACAACAUCAAACUUGAGGCUUCAACUUGGGUGGCCGCGGGCAUCAAAAAGCUAGGGACCAUUAUUCCCGGAGAGUAA
This 147-nucleotide ribosomal RNA is filed under the name Triticum aestivum (bread wheat). RNAcentral's name for it is "partial small subunit ribosomal RNA". Lineage: Eukaryota; Viridiplantae; Streptophyta; Magnoliopsida; Poales; Poaceae. The record is from RNAcentral.